Molecule: transfer RNA, 65 nt
Filed under: Orsodacne lineola
Lineage: Eukaryota; Metazoa; Arthropoda; Insecta; Coleoptera; Orsodacnidae
Description: tRNA-Phe
Rfam family: tRNA
About the family: Transfer RNA (tRNA) molecules are approximately 80 nucleotides in length. Their secondary structure includes four short double-helical elements and three loops (D, anti-codon, and T loops). Further hydrogen bonds mediate the characteristic L-shaped molecular structure. tRNAs have two regions of fundamental functional importance: the anti-codon, which is responsible for specific mRNA codon recognition, and the 3' end, to which the tRNAs corresponding amino acid is attached (by aminoacyl-tRNA synthetases). tRNAs cope with the degeneracy of the genetic code in two manners: having more than one tRNA (with a specific anti-codon) for a particular amino acid; and 'wobble' base-pairing, i.e. permitting non-standard base-pairing at the 3rd anti-codon position.
Source: RNAcentral
ACUUAAAUAGCUUAAGAUAGAGCGUAAUAUUGAAGAUAUUAAGAUGAUAGUGUUAUCUUUAGGUA